RNAcentral lists this ribosomal RNA (449 nucleotides) under uncultured bacterium. Its description in RNAcentral is "bacterial SSU rRNA". It matches the Rfam family "Bacterial small subunit ribosomal RNA", at positions 1 to 487 of the family's 1533-position model. The record is from RNAcentral.
UUAGAGUUUGAUCCUGGCUCAGAAUCAACGCUGGCGGCGUGCCUAACACAUGCAAGUCGAACGAGAAAGUGGAGCAAUCCAUGAGUACAGUGGCGACCGGGUGAGUAACACGUGACUAACCUACCUUCGAGUGGGGGAUAACAUCGGGAAACCGAUGCUAAUACCGCAUAACAUCGCAAGAUCAAAGCAGCAAUGCGCUUGAAGAGGGGGUCGCGGCUGAUUAGCUAGUUGGAAGGGUAAUGGCCUACCAAGGCUGAGAUCGGUAUCCGGCCUGAGAGGGCGCACGGACACACUGGAACUGAAACACGGUCCAGACUCCUACGGGAGGCAGCAGUGGGGAAUUUUGCGCAAUGGGGGAAACCCUGACGCAGCAACGCCGCGUGGAGGAUGAAGUCCCUUGGGACGUAAACUCCUUUCGACCCGGAAGAUACUGACGGUACGGGUGGAAG